UACGAAGGGGGCUAGCGUUGCUCGGAAUCACUGGGCGUAAAGCGCGCGUAGGCGGCUCGGCAAGUCGGGCGUGAAAUGCCGGGGCUCAACCCCGGGACUGCGUCCGAUACUGGCAGGCUUGAAUUCGGGAGAGGGAUGUGGAAUUCCGGGUGUAGUGGUGAAAUGCGUAGAGAUCCGGAGGAACACCAGAGGCGAAGGCGGCAGCCUGGCACGUUACUGACGCUCAUACACGAAAGCAUGGGGAGCGAACGGG
Molecule: ribosomal RNA, 253 nt
Filed under: uncultured bacterium
Lineage: Bacteria
Description: partial 16S ribosomal RNA
Rfam family: Bacterial small subunit ribosomal RNA
Source: RNAcentral